Molecule: RNase P RNA, 446 nt
Filed under: Pirellulales bacterium
Lineage: Bacteria; Pseudomonadati; Planctomycetota; Planctomycetia; Pirellulales
Description: RNase P RNA component class A
Rfam family: Bacterial RNase P class A
About the family: Ribonuclease P (RNase P) is a ubiquitous endoribonuclease, found in archaea, bacteria and eukarya as well as chloroplasts and mitochondria.
Source: RNAcentral
GGAGUGGGCUGGACGAUCGCCGGUCGGAUUUGCGGAUCGUCACAUCGAUCCUUUACUAAUCCGACGGGAGGAAAGUCCGGGCUCCAGAGAACACGGUGAUGGGUAACACCCACCGGCCGCGAGGCCCGGGAAAGUGCAACAGAAAGCAAACCGCCCAGUCAAGAUUUAUCUUGCCCGGGUAAGGGUGAAACGGUGAGGUAAGAGCUCACCAGCGGAUUGGGCGACCAGUCCGGCUAGGUAAACCCCACCGGGAGAAAGGUUAAACAGGAAGCAGCGCUUCGGCCGGGCUUUUGCCAGGUAAAGCGCGCGGGAUUGUUCGUUCCGUUAACGACUUCCGGGUAAACCGCUUGAGGGGUCGGGCAACCGGCCUCCUAGAUAAAUGAUCGUCACCCCGUCGGCAUCCGCCGUGCGGGGAACAGAAUCCGGCUUACAGGCCCUCUCCAUCC